UACGGGGGGGGCAAGCGUUGUUCGGAAUUACUGGGCGUAAAGGGCUCGUAGGCGGCCAACUAAGUCAGACGUGAAAUCCCUCGGCUUAACCGGGGAACUGCGUCUGAUACUGGAUGGCUAGAGGUUGGGAGAGGGAUGCGGAAUUCCAGGUGUAGCGGUGAAAUGCGUAGAUAUCUGAAGGAACACCGGUGGCGAAGGCGGCAUCCUGGACCAAUUCUGACGCUGAUGAGCGAAAGCCAGGGGAGCAAACGGG
This 253-nucleotide ribosomal RNA is filed under the name uncultured bacterium. RNAcentral describes it as "partial 16S ribosomal RNA". It matches the Rfam family "Bacterial small subunit ribosomal RNA", at positions 524 to 776 of the family's 1533-position model. The record is from RNAcentral.